AAUAAAGUAAAUUGUUCAAAACAAAAACUGAUUAAAAAUGAUGGGUUUCCUCCCACACAGCGCUUCUUUCCCAUCAUUAGCUUGACCUUUUAAUUUUUGUGUUAGGGUGGCAUAUAUGACAGGAAAAACACAUCAUCCUUCUUCUUCCUUUUGUUUGAUAGGAAUUCCAUCACUUUCAGGAAUUGAAGGUUUUUCUUCCAUAUUCUCUUUAGCCUGAUAGUAUCUAACAAGAGAUAAAUCUCAUUCAAUACUUCAUCUAUUUCUCCUUUUUUAUCAUCCUUGUUGUUAGGUGUAUGACUAUUAAUUUGUUGAAGAUCUUGUAGUAGGAUAUCUAAGUCUGAAUGAAUGGUUGAAAUUAAAGCUUCAUCCAACAUGAUAUAAUCUUCAUCUUGCAUUCUGGCUCUUUUCCCGCAUAUCGUUUUCACCUCUAUUGCUUCUAUUCUUGCUUUUAUUUCUUUAUCAGGUGUUGUUCAUUUUUCUUCUUCUUUUUUCUUUUCCUGCUCCUCUUUCAUCGAAUAUCUCACACUCAUGUUUGACUUCUCUUUCAAUUUCCUUAUCUCUAGGACUAUCGAACAUAUUUUCAUAGAUAUACCCACUAGAUCUCAGCUUUAAUGUUAAUCGGCUAGAUACUUGACCAAGUUGCAUCUCUAAAUUCUUGAAGGAUGUUUCCAUGUUACUUCGCACGGUUUCUUGUUGCCUUUUGAUUUCUCAAAAUUGAGUUGAGUCAUCUUUAUAAACUGAGUCAGGG
This 748-nucleotide long non-coding RNA is filed under the name Lathyrus oleraceus (garden pea). RNAcentral's name for it is "Pisum sativum (pea) long non-coding RNA (PSAT_LNC001985)". Lineage: Eukaryota; Viridiplantae; Streptophyta; Magnoliopsida; Fabales; Fabaceae. The record is from RNAcentral.